GACAGAGGGUGCAAACGUUUGUUCGGAAUUACUGGGCGUAAAGCGUGUGUAGGCGGCUUUGUAAGUCAGAUGUGAAAUCCCCGGGCUUAACCUGGGAACUGCGUUUGAAACUGGAAGGCUAGAGUGUGGCAGAGGGGGGUGGAAUUCCACGUGUAGCAGUGAAAUGCGUAGAUAUGUGGAGGAACACCGAUGGCGAAGGCAGCCCCCUGGGCUAACACUGA
This 221-nucleotide ribosomal RNA is filed under the name uncultured bacterium. Its description in RNAcentral is "partial 16S ribosomal RNA". It matches the Rfam family "Bacterial small subunit ribosomal RNA", at positions 524 to 743 of the family's 1533-position model. The record is from RNAcentral.